AGCUCACUCAAGGUGAGAAAUACCGCUUUACGCGCGAUCAUCGAGUGUCAUCGCUGUCCAUGCACUCCUGUAGUUCAGCUACUAUAAAGGCUAUUUAUAGUGUUCGGAUGAUAACGAUGUAGUGACUUCGGGCUACCUUACGUCGUCUUACUUUCGUGUACUGGUCUUCGAUCAGGGCUGUCUUGUUAGUGAGACGUUCAUGAUCGUUUAUUGGGCGGGGAGUGGGAAGCCAUGCAAAUUCUACUGUAGAUAAACUUAGAGUGUUCCGCUAGGCAGGCGGAAUGACUGGAAUACCAUUUAGCAUGUAUUAUAGUAAGUCGACGGUCGGCUGAUAUUAUUGUGGUUUGGGGAACCUGGGUUACUGUUUUAAUUGGGUCGUCGGGGCCAUUAUUUUUGCAUUUGUCGAGGAGGGAACUAUUGGAAUACGGAAGACAAAGAUGUUUGCAAGCAUCUACCAAGGAAGUUGUGCGAUUAUAAAGAGAGCAGAGUCGGGGAUCGUAUGUGCCUUGAAAUAUGUGGAGUAGUGAUACGGAGAUAUAUGCGAAUAGGGAUCGCGGGCACGCUUAUUUAGUACUCCUCGGCUCCCUCUAGGAAGUAAAUUUUUUUGCGUGUGGGGGGAGUAUAGUAAUAGACGGAAGAACUACACCAAGAGUGGGAAGGGCACCCCCAGGUGUGUGGCCUCGGGGAUAAUUUGGAUCUCACGGCGGAAAGACGACAGGUCCAGAGAAACAUAGGUUUUGAAUCAAUGGGGGGUUUUUCAUGUCCGUUGGGGGGUGGGGGAGUGACUUUUUUGGUUAAUUCCGUUAACGAACGAGACCAUUACCUGUUAAAAAGUCACCUGAACCGGUCAAAAAAGGCUCAAAGUUUGGGGCUGUACUUGGUAGAGGGAGGGGUCGCAUCGGCCCGCGAAGGGAAGUGUGAGGCAAUAACAGGUGUGUGAUGCCCUUAGAUGUUUUCUGCCGCACGCGCGUUACACAGACGGAGUCACAGAGAGUUUUUCCUUGCCCGAAAGGCCCGGGUAACCUCCUUAAACUCCGUCGUGAUGGGGAUAGAUCAUUGCAAUUAUUGAUCUUGAACGAGGAAUUCCUAGUAAGCGCGAGUCAUCAACCCGCGCUGAUUACGUCCCUGCCCUUUGUACACCCCGCCCGUCGGUUUUACCGAUUGAAAGGUCCGGUGAGACUCCGGAUGGGCCCGGGCAGGGGUCAAAGCCACCCCGGCCUGAGAAGUUUUUCAAUAUUUAUCUUAAACAGAAAAAUGAAUUAUUAAACAA
This 1270-nucleotide ribosomal RNA is filed under the name Vermamoeba vermiformis. Its description in RNAcentral is "bacterial SSU rRNA". It matches the Rfam family "Eukaryotic small subunit ribosomal RNA". The record is from RNAcentral. Lineage: Eukaryota; Tubulinea; Echinamoebida; Vermamoebidae.